RNAcentral lists this unclassified non-coding RNA (211 nucleotides) under plant metagenome. RNAcentral describes it as "partial contains small subunit ribosomal RNA, internal transcribed spacer 1, and 5.8S ribosomal RNA". The record is from RNAcentral.
UUUCCGUAGGUGAACCUGCGGAAGGAUCAUUCAUAAUAAAGUGUUUUAUGGUACUUUUUAAAAAUCCAUAUCCACCUUGUGUGCAAUGUUAGAUCUCGUCAAUCUUGGCGAGAUUUUUAUACAUCAACUCAUUCUUUAACUAAUUUGUCUGAAAAAUAUUAUGAAUACUUAAUUCAAAAUACAACUUUCAACAACGGAUCUCUUGGCUCUC